UACAGAGGUCUCAAGCGUUGUUCGGAUUCAUUGGGCGUAAAGGGUGCGUAGGCGGCGGGGCAAGUCGGAUGUGAAAUCUCAGGGCUCAACCCUGAAACUGCAUUCGAUACUGCCUUGCUCGAGGACUGGAGAGGAGAUUGGAAUUCACGGUGUAGCAGUGAAAUGCGUAGAUAUCGUGAGGAAGACCAGUGGCGAAGGCGGAUCUCUGGACAGUCCUGACGCUGAGGCACGAAGGCCAGGGGAGCAAACGGG
This 252-nucleotide ribosomal RNA is filed under the name uncultured bacterium. RNAcentral describes it as "partial 16S ribosomal RNA". It matches the Rfam family "Bacterial small subunit ribosomal RNA", at positions 524 to 776 of the family's 1533-position model. The record is from RNAcentral.